This 253-nucleotide ribosomal RNA is filed under the name uncultured bacterium. RNAcentral's name for it is "partial 16S ribosomal RNA". It matches the Rfam family "Bacterial small subunit ribosomal RNA", at positions 524 to 776 of the family's 1533-position model. The record is from RNAcentral.
UACGAAGGGGGCUAGCGUUGCUCGGAAUCACUGGGCGUAAAGGGUGCGUAGGCGGGUCUUUAAGUCAGGGGUGAAAUCCUGGAGCUCAACUCCAGAACUGCCUUUGAUACUGAGGAUCUUGAGUUCGGGAGAGGUGAGUGGAACUGCGAGUGUAGAGGUGAAAUUCGUAGAUAUUCGCAAGAACACCAGUGGCGAAGGCGGCUCACUGGCCCGAUACUGACGCUGAGGCACGAAAGCGUGGGGAACAAACAGG